Long non-coding RNA from Taeniopygia guttata (zebra finch), 973 nucleotides. RefSeq lists it as uncharacterized. Lineage: Eukaryota; Metazoa; Chordata; Aves; Passeriformes; Estrildidae. The record is from RefSeq and is a predicted model, not a curated record.
UGUUCCCGCUCCCCUUCUGACGCCAGCCGCCCUUGCACGGUCCCAGGCGGGUCUCCCAGACCAUUCCCAGCACUAAAAAGGUGCAACUGGGAGAUGCUGCAGCUACCAGUGUCUCCUGACACACCACAGCCACAUCUACGCAAAAAAACCCUACCAAAAAACCCCAAACACAAACCUCACACCGCAAAAACCCUAAAGCGCUGAGAUCCAGUAUAUAAACACACAGAAAACUUGUCAAGGAGAGCAGUUGCAGCCCCUGGGAAGGGGUCUGGGCUCGCCGUGUAACUCCACACACAGACUGAGCCUGCAAAGGGAGCUGCACAUUCAUCCCCCUCCGGCUCUAGGAAAGGGGCGGCAACAGGAUGACCCCGGGGGUGGAGGGGGCUGCCCCCAAAUCCCCUCGCCCCGUUCCCCCUCUUUCCCCCAUCUCCCAGCCCAGCCGAGCAGAGGGAUCCUGUACACAACUUUUUCAAACUGCCAGGCAGAAGAAUCCCAGCCUUUCCAAGGGAGUGUCGGUAAAUCAUCAGUACAUCCGACAACGCAGCCAGCGGGAUUAACCCUUUGCGGGUUCCCGGGAAAAUAACAACAACAACAACAAAACCACCGCCAACAACGCGUUUAACAAUGAAAACAGUAAAAUUCGGCCCCAGCUGUGGGAGAAGGGGGACGGGCAGGGUGUGUGCCGGGAUCUUUUCAUACACGGAUGGAGAGGGAACAGCGUUUUGUGUGAGCACACGAAGAGCUGCCACCGCGCACCUCCGGCGUGCCUCAGCCCCCCGGGCUCUCCCACCUCCCACAGCACCGCGCCAGACCCAGAUGUGCCUCCCACCCCCCCAAGGAUCUCUCCUCUGGACUUAGAGAGAAGAGGAAAAGGCAGAUUUUGAGAAAUGAAAAUUAUUUAAGGAUGUCCUUACUGCCUCUCUCUGCUGCCCUCCUCUGUAAUAGCGAAGCAUUUACAAGAUAUUAUACAAAA